ACAGGAACUGCAGAACAAUCUGACACUCCAGUGUCUGCUAAUGACAUGUGUUCCCUUGCUGAAUGGCCAUCCCAUGCUCGCCGCAACUGUGCGCUACUACAGGAUGAAGCUGGUGGACAGAAGAAGAAAGGGCGAGGUGUUCUAAAGGGUUUUAAAGCAUCUAAGAAGCGUUUUGCCAAUGGAUCUUCAAAGCUAAAUAUUACAUUCUCUGAAAAAUUGGGUGGUACAGUAGGAAUGAACUAUCGUUCGUUCAAGGAUGACGUGGUAGUCAUAAUGAAAAGAAAGUUACCACUCAUUGGAGUGAGGACGUGGUCGAACAUUCACCCUACCAUUCAUCGACUCAUUGUUGCAGAUAUGAUAGACAGAUGGGACCUGGAAGAUACACCAGAAACAGAAGAAAAAGUUCUCAAAAUUGUGAAAGAGAGAUAUAGAGGCUGGCGAUCAACUCUAAGCUCCACUUACAAGGCAUACAAAAUAGAUGCAGCUAGAUUGGCUAAUCUGCCGGAAGAUUUACAACCAGAAGAGUGGGAAUGGAUGAUUGAGUACUUGGCACUGAUUCAAAAUUUCAGGGAACGCAGCCAAAAGAACACCGAUAACCGUAAGAAACAGAAGAGAAAACACAUAAUCGGAUCAAAAUCUUACUCGCAAGUUAGUUUUGAGAAGAGAAACUUGGAAACUGGAGAAGAGCCAGAUUGUAUUGCUCUGUGGGAACUCACCCACACAAACGAUGGAACAUGGUCUAACACAGAUUCCCAGAAAGUUUACGACAAAGCACUUCAAGAGGUUAAAAACAAAGAAACUGAAACUAAAGGUCCACUUUCAAGUGAGCAGAAAAACAAUAUUUUCCAGACCGCUUGCAAAGACACUCUGGAAUGCAAGUCAUCGCAGCCUCGUGGGUACGGAUACAUGGCCAAAACUUCAACUGGUUCUGAAAGGUUCCGUAUCCAGAUUGAAGAGCAAGCUCGUGCUACAGCAGCCACCCAGGAGCAAAACUCUCAGCUCAGCCAGCAGGUCAACGACUUAGAUCAACUACAAGCUGAACGUGCUAACACACAAGAGAGGAUUAACUUGGAGCGUGCUGAGAGAGAAUAACUUGAGGAGAGGUUAAAAGAAGAGCGUGCUGAAAGGGAAAGAUUGUUGCAAGAGGAGCGAACAUCAAGACUGGAAUUUGAAAAAGACAUGAUGGCAAAGUUUGUAGAAUUGAUCAAACAGUUGGGAACCCAACAGGUGCCUACGAAGAGGGUUGACAAAGAAAAUAGUAAUCCAAACUUGCAAAAUAUUCCUUUACAGAGAUCUAGUCCUAAUAAGACUCUAGGUUCAAGGCCAACUGCUAUUUCUUCAAAUGCGCUCAUACAAGCUGCAGCAAGGCAAUCUCGAAUGUUUAAAGCAAUGGUAAGUCACAACCUUGCUUUCUCUUCAUAUUCACCUGCAUUUUGUACGUCAUUGGUCUUAAGAAUUAGCUAG
Molecule: ribosomal RNA, 1464 nt
Filed under: Triticum aestivum (bread wheat)
Lineage: Eukaryota; Viridiplantae; Streptophyta; Magnoliopsida; Poales; Poaceae
Description: partial small subunit ribosomal RNA
Source: RNAcentral